CUACGGGGUGCACCAGUGAGGAAUAUUGCACAAUGGGGGGAACGAUGAGGCAGCAACGCCGCGUGGAGGAGGACGCAUUUCGGUGUGUAAACUCCUUUUAUAGGUGGAGAAAAUGACGGUAGCAUAUGAAUAAGCACCGGCUAACUCCGUGCCAGCAGCCGCGGUAAUACGGAGGGUGCAAGCGUUACUCGGAAUCACUGGGCGUAAAGGACGCGUAGGCGGGUUGGAAAGUCAGGUGUGAAAUCCUACAGCUUAACUGUAGAACUGCACUUGAAACUUCUAAUCUAGAGUAUGGGAGGGGGAGAUGGAAUUAGUGGUGUAGGGGUAAAAUCCGUAGAUAUCACUAGGAAUACCUAAAGCGAAGGCGAUCUCCUGGAACAUUACUGACGCUAAGGCGUGAAAGCGUGGGGAGCAAACAGGAUUAGAUACCCCUGUAGUC
RNAcentral lists this ribosomal RNA (439 nucleotides) under uncultured bacterium. RNAcentral's name for it is "partial 16S ribosomal RNA". It matches the Rfam family "Bacterial small subunit ribosomal RNA", at positions 339 to 795 of the family's 1533-position model. The record is from RNAcentral.